UCCGUAGGCGGGCGACUGAGUCAGAGGUGAAAUCCCACAGCUUAACUGUGGAACUGCCUUUGAUACUGGUUGUCUUGAGUUAUAGUGAAGUAGAUAGAAUAUGUAGUGUAGCGGUGAAAUGCUUAGAUAUUACAUAGAAUACCGAUUGCGAAGGCAGUCUACUAACUAUAUACUGACGCUAAUGGACGAAAGCGUGGGGAGCGAACAGGAUUAGAUACCCUGGUAGUCC
RNAcentral lists this ribosomal RNA (229 nucleotides) under uncultured bacterium. RNAcentral describes it as "partial 16S ribosomal RNA". It matches the Rfam family "Bacterial small subunit ribosomal RNA", at positions 568 to 796 of the family's 1533-position model. The record is from RNAcentral.